RNAcentral lists this ribosomal RNA (173 nucleotides) under uncultured bacterium. RNAcentral describes it as "partial 16S ribosomal RNA". It matches the Rfam family "Bacterial small subunit ribosomal RNA", at positions 1321 to 1500 of the family's 1533-position model. The record is from RNAcentral.
UGAAGCUGGAUUCGCUAGUAAUCGCGCAUCAGCCACGGCGCGGUGAAUACGUUCCCGGGCCUUGUACACACCGCCCGUCAAGCCAUGGAAGCCGGGAGUGCCUGAAGUGCGUGACCGCAAGGAGCGUCCUAAGGCAAUACCGGUGACUGGGGGCUAAGUCGUAACAAGGUAGC